CCUACGUGUGACAGCAGUGGGGAAUAUUGCGCAAUGGGCGAAAGCCUGACGCAGCGACGCCGCGUGAGGGAUGAAGGUCUUCGGAUCGUAAACCUCUGUCAGCAGGGAAGAACGGUCACUGUGCUAAUCAGCAGUGAAUUAACGGUACCUGCAAAGGAAGCACCGGCUAACUCCGUGCCAGCAGCCGCGGUAAUACGGAGGGUGCGAGCGUUAAUCGGAAUUACUGGGCGUAAAGCGCUCGUAGGCGGUAUGUCAAGGCAAGGGUGAAAUCCCCGCGCUCAACGUGGGAACUGCCUUGGAAACGUGCAAACUGGAGUGUGUGAGAGGAUAGUGGAAUGCCAGGUGUAGGAGUGAAAUCCGUAGAUAUCUGGAGGAAAAUCAGUGGCGAAGGCGACUAUCUGGCACAUAACUGACGCUGAGGAGCGAAAGCGUGGGUAGCAAACAGGAGUAGAUACCCCAGUAGGC
RNAcentral lists this ribosomal RNA (465 nucleotides) under uncultured bacterium. RNAcentral describes it as "partial 16S ribosomal RNA". It matches the Rfam family "Bacterial small subunit ribosomal RNA", at positions 338 to 795 of the family's 1533-position model. The record is from RNAcentral.